CACGACCGUUAAGCCCUCCAGCGCCAAUGGUACUUGGACCGCAGGGUCCUGGGAGAGUAGGACGUUGCCAGGC
Molecule: ribosomal RNA, 73 nt
Filed under: Cohnella lupini
Lineage: Bacteria; Bacillati; Bacillota; Bacilli; Caryophanales; Paenibacillaceae
Source: RNAcentral